Molecule: non-coding RNA, 802 nt
Organism: Cinara cedri
Lineage: Eukaryota; Metazoa; Arthropoda; Insecta; Hemiptera; Aphididae
Source: the annotation of a GenBank genome assembly
CUAGGAAAUCAAAUGAUCAAUAAAAGGUAAAAAAAAUUACAAUAACCUAUUGCGUGAUAAUAAUAAUACCACUGUCUAUGAAUGAUUACUAAUCAUGGAAUUGAUUUUUAUAGGAACUGGUUUUUUUUUUUUUUUUUGAAAGUAUACGUACAUGAUGAAUGUUAUUAAACAUGUAAUUGACACAACGAAUACAAAUAGCUUAAAAUAGCUUAGAAAUAGCACUACAUUCAACAUAAAGUAGUGUUAUUAUACUCAACAUCGGUCAUCGAGUGUAUAGGUAGGUACACUUGAUGUCCUAUUCGAUAAUUAUUCAUUAUUGAAUGUUAAAAUUGUGCAAAUGAUAUAAAAUUCGUUGUGAAAAAUAUUCCUCGUAUCUUCUCUACCGUUGUAUUGUUGAUAUACAUCACCUAUUUUUUUUAUUUUUUAUUUUUAUUUUUUUUUUUGAGUUCGAUCCUGAUUCUUCAACGGUGGUUCUUUUCCGAUAUGAUUGGAUACAUUAAAUCGAUGAAUUUAACACGGGUAGCUCCACUAGUAAAUAGGUACAGUGAAACAUAACGGUCGAAAUCACAGUUGUGACGUGAUCACCUAGUGAUAUCAUAUCAUUAUUUGUAGUAUAAAAUUGGUACACCGAUUAAAAAAAAAAAAAAAAAAACCGGGAUUUGUGUACAAUCGCUUUUAAUUGCGUGCCGGACUCAUAUUCUCGCCUUUAAGUUUGAUAAUAAGCCAAUCGACUGUGCCGUUGAAACUUGAAAUUAACAGCACGAAAACGGAUUUGCUGAACGAAAAUUUAACGUUAUCCAUU